AACGAACGCUGGCGGCGCAUAUUAGACAUGCAAGUCGAACGUGAAAUUCCGGUUCGCCGGAAGAUUAGCGUGGCGGACGGGUGAGGAACACGUAGGUAAUCUGCCCUGAAGAUCGGGAUAACCUUGCGAAAGCAAGAACAAUACCGAAUACGAUCCCGACCCCAAAAGGGGAUGGGAUGAAAUGUGCCCAAGUUCGCUUGGGUUUCGCUUCGGGAUGAGCCUGCGUCCUAUUAGCUUGUUGGUGGGGUAACGGCCUACCAAGGUGACGAUGGGUAGCCGACCUGAGAGGGUCAACGGCCACACUGGGACUGAGACACGGCCCAGACUCCUACGGGAGGCAGCAGUUUGGAAUCUUGCGCAAUGGGCGCAAGCCUGACGCAGUGACGCCGCGUGAGUGAUGAAGGCCUUCGGGUCGUAAAGCUCUGUCAAGGGGAACGAAGUCCCGAAUUUAUAUCGGGAUGACGGUACUCCUAAAGGAAGCUCCGGCUAACUCCGUGCCAGCAGCCGCGGUGAGACGGAGGGAGCUAGCGUUGUUCGGAAUUACUGGGCGUAAAGGGCACGUAGGCGCCCCGCCAAGUUUUCGGUGAAAUCCUCGGGCUUAACCUGAGACCUGCCGAGAAAACUAGCGGGGUUGAGUUCAGGAGAGGGGAAUGGAAUUCCCAGUGUAGCGGUGAAAUGCGUAGAUAUUGGGAAGAACACCAGUGGCGAAGGCGAUUCCCUGGUCUGAUACUGACGCUGAGGUGCGAAAGCUGGGGGAGCGAACGGGAUUAGAUACCCCGGUAGUCCCAGCCGUAAACGAUGGGCACUAGGUGUAGGAGGUAUUGAAUCCUUCUGCGCCGUAGCUAACGCGAUAAGUGCCCCGCCUGGGGAGUACGACCGCAAGGUUGGAACUCAAAGGAAUUGACGGGGACCCGCACAAGCGGUGGAGCAUGUGGCUCAAUUCGAGGCAACGCGAAGAACCUUAUCCAGGGUUUGACAUGCAGCUGCAAGUCCCGUGAAAACGGGAUUCCUUCGAGGGUGCUGCACAGGUGCUGCAUGGCUGUCGUCAGUUCGUGUCGUGAGAUGUUGGGUUAAGUCCCGCAACGAACGCAACCCUUGUCCUGUGUUGCCAGCGGUUCGGCCGGGAAUUCACAGGAGACUGCCCCGAGUAGGGGAGGAAGGUGAGGAUGACGUCAAGUCCGCAUGGCCCUUAUGCCCUGGGCUGCACACGUGCUACAAUGGUCGGUACAGAGGGCUUGCAAGACCGUGAGGUGGAGCGAAUCCCUAAAGCCGGCCUCAGUUCGGAUUGGAGUCUGCAACUCGACUCCAUGAAGCUGGAAUCGCUAGUAAUCGUGGAUCAGCACGCCACGGUGAAUACGUUCCCGGGUCUUGUACACACCGCCCGUCAUACCAACCGAGUCGAAUGCACCCCAAGUC
This 1416-nucleotide ribosomal RNA is filed under the name uncultured bacterium. RNAcentral's name for it is "16S ribosomal RNA". It matches the Rfam family "Bacterial small subunit ribosomal RNA". The record is from RNAcentral.